GGGGGGGCUACCAUGCAGUCGAGCGGAUGACGGGAGCUUGCUCCUUGAUUCAGCGGCGGACGGGUGAGUAAUGCCUAGGAAUCUGCCUGGUAGUGGGGGACAACGUUUCGAAAGGAACGCUAAUACCGCAUACGUCCUACGGGAGAAAGCAGGGGACCUUCGGGCCUUGCGCUAUCAGAUGAGCCUAGGUCGGAUUAGCUAGUUGGUGGGGUAAUGGCUCACCAAGGCGACGAUCCGUAACUGGUCUGAGAGGAUGAUCAGUCACACUGGAACUGAGACACGGUCCAGACUCCUACGGGAGGCAGCAGUGGGGAAUAUUGGACAAUGGGCGAAAGCCUGAUCCAGCCAUGCCGCGUGUGUGAAGAAGGUCUUCGGAUUGUAAAGCACUUUAAGUUGGGAGGAAGGGCAGUAAGCUAAUACCUUGUUGUUUUGACGUUACCGACAGAAUAAGCACCGGCUAACUCUGUGCCAGCACCCCCGCUAAUACAGAGGGUGCAAGCGUUUCUCGGAAUUACAGGGAGAAAAGAGCGCGCAAGGUGAUUGUGCGGACCACCGGAGUGAAAAGUCGCGUUUCAACGUGGGGGUG
This 586-nucleotide ribosomal RNA is filed under the name Pseudomonas plecoglossicida. RNAcentral describes it as "bacterial SSU rRNA". It matches the Rfam family "Bacterial small subunit ribosomal RNA", at positions 41 to 623 of the family's 1533-position model. Lineage: Bacteria; Pseudomonadati; Pseudomonadota; Gammaproteobacteria; Pseudomonadales; Pseudomonadaceae. The record is from RNAcentral.